This 492-nucleotide ribosomal RNA is filed under the name uncultured bacterium. RNAcentral's name for it is "partial 16S ribosomal RNA". It matches the Rfam family "Bacterial small subunit ribosomal RNA", at positions 29 to 507 of the family's 1533-position model. The record is from RNAcentral.
AGUGAACGCUGGCGGUAGGCCUAACACAUGCAAGUCGAACGGCAGCACAGUAAGAGCUUGCUCUUACGGGUGGCGAGUGGCGGACGGGUGAGGAAUACAUCGGAAUCUACUUUUUCGUGGGGGAUAACGUAGGGAAACUUACGCUAAUACCGCAUACGACCUACGGGUGAAAGCAGGGGAUCUUCGGACCUUGCGCGAUUGAAUGAGCCGAUGUCGGAUUAGCUAGUUGGCGGGGUAAGGUCCCACCAAGGCGACGAUCCGUAGCUGGUCUGAGAGGAUGAUCAGCCACACUGGAACUGAGACACGGUCCAGACUCCUACGGGAGGCAGCAGUGGGGAAUAUUGGACAAUGGGCGCAAGCCUGAUCCAGCCAUACCGCGUGGGUGAAGAAGGCCUUCGGGUUGUAAAGCCCUUUUGUUGGGAAAGAAAAGCAGCAGGUUAAUACCCCGCUGUUCUGACGGUACCCAAAGAAUAAGCACCGGCUAACUUCGUG